Molecule: long non-coding RNA, 695 nt
Filed under: Rattus norvegicus (Norway rat)
Lineage: Eukaryota; Metazoa; Chordata; Mammalia; Rodentia; Muridae
Description: long non-coding RNA NONRATT000066
Source: RNAcentral
GAAGGGAAGAAAAGAGAGAUUGCUGCUUGCAUGCAGAAAGAAAGGUUCCUGAAUAAACUGCUUUGAGAAGAACGCUGUGGUGUUGCUCCUUUCUGCGGGACGGAGACGGAGACAAAUGUGUAUGUGCAUGUAUUCCCUGAAGAAGUUUCUGUUUCCCAUAAAAGACUCUGAACUGUCGAAAUGUUUCCUAAUACAGUGGAAUUGAUAUGUACGCAACACAUCUACAGACAUCUUCCCGGCAUGGGAAGCUGCAAGGAUCCUGGCCACGUCUGUAUCUACGGCCUGUUACCUUCAAAGUAAUCUUCUGGCUGCCUUAGAACUAAAAUUAACACUCAUAACCUAGAGAAGUGAGUGGCACAUGGAGAUUCAGAGGACAGUGUUAGUUUAGAGGUAGAGAAGCAGGAAAAGCCAAAUAAACGCUACCUAAAUCACAAAGGAAAUGGAGCAAGAGACUCCAGAGAAGGUGGACUCUGCACAGGAGAAGGUCAGAGGCAAGUCCCAGCCAGCAGAUGACUCGGAGGACAGCCGAGAAAAGGCUGGGACAGAAGGGACGGGAGAACUGACCGAAGCCUAUGAGCUGCAGGUAGCUGAAGAAAUGGCAAAAGAGAUCAAGAAGAAAAUAAGAAGGAAGCUAAAGGAGCAGCUGACCUACUUUCCUCCAGACACUCUGCUGCAUGACGACAAGCUGGGCAGUG